This 915-nucleotide long non-coding RNA is filed under the name Pandoravirus celtis. RNAcentral describes it as "hypothetical ncRNA". The record is from RNAcentral.
CGCGUGCCCAUCGACCCGAGCCACUCGCACAGGGCCUGACGUGUCCACCCGGCAUGGUCGUCCUGAUCAAAGACGGCGCGCACGGCGCGCUCCAACCGCGCGUCCGACUCGGGAUCGAGCGUGCACGCGUGGUCCAUGACGGCGGCGAUCAUGUCAUCGCGUGAUUCAACGCCCAACAGGCGAAAGACGUCGAUCACGGGCACAUUGGUCUCGACAAAGGGCAUGCGCACCUCGACAUGGGGCCGUGCCGCCGCCAAGUACACAUAGAGGGUCGACGUGCUGCGGAUCUUGGACUCGUGGCGCGGCCGGAUCUCGCACACGUGCGAGUAUUUCGUGUGCUUGUGGUCGAGCAUGACGCACGCAUGGUUGAUGCGCAUUUUGAUCUGCGACACCAACAUCUUGGCGCUGCCGCGCACGACAAAGGCGCCCGGUCGCUCCAGCGGGCACUCGCCGGCCAGGUGGGGCGACCCGCGCAGCCGACAGUAGCGGCUGCCCACCAUGCAGGGCACCUGGCACAGGACGGCCUCCUUGGAGCGCACGGUGCGGCACAGCGGGAGGCCCGUGCAGUCGCCGCCGCGCUCCUUGAGUUGCUCCUUGCUGAUGCCCGUGGUGUCAAACACCGUGUAGAGGAGGUCGCACGUCACCGUGCACGCAUAGACCAGGCCGCGCAUGCGACACUCGCGCGGGAACACGGGACGCACGAUGCCGUCGGCCUCGCGCACCGACGGCUUGUGCACGGUGACGGCGCCGAAUUCGAGCACGAACCGGCGCCGCGCCGGGUCCGAGUCGAUCACCACGCGGUUGUUUUCGGCGACGAUGGCCGGCAGGUAGACGUCCAUAAACUUGUCAAAGCCGUCCACCUGGUGGCGUGUGAGGCCGCGCGCAUGGACGAGCGCCGCCGCAAGCGCCAACCGC